CAAGCGUGGAUGAUGUGGUUAAUUCGAUGCAACGCAAAAACUUACCACCUUUGACAUGUACGGAAUCCUUUAGAGAUAGAGGAGUGCUCGAAAGAGAACCGUAACACAGGUGCUGCAUGGCUGUCGUCAGCUCGUGUCGUGAGAUGUUGGGUUAAGUCCCGCAACGAGCGCAACCCUUGUCAUUAGUUGCUACAUUCAGUUGGGCACUCUAAUGAGACUGACCGGUGACAAACCGGAGGAAGUGGGGAUGACGUCAAGUCCUCAUGGCCCUUAUAGGUGGGGCUACACACGUCAUACAAUGGAUGGUACAAAGGGUCGCCAACCCGCGAGGGGGAGCCAAUACCCAUAAAGCCAUUCGUAGUCCGGAUCGCAGUCUGCAACUCGACUGCGUGAAGUCGGAAUCGCUAGUAAUCGUGGAUCAGAAUGUCACGGUGAAUACGUUCCCGGGUCUU
RNAcentral lists this ribosomal RNA (452 nucleotides) under uncultured Acidovorax sp. Its description in RNAcentral is "bacterial SSU rRNA". It matches the Rfam family "Bacterial small subunit ribosomal RNA", at positions 926 to 1382 of the family's 1533-position model. Lineage: Bacteria; Pseudomonadati; Pseudomonadota; Betaproteobacteria; Burkholderiales; Comamonadaceae. The record is from RNAcentral.